This 253-nucleotide ribosomal RNA is filed under the name uncultured prokaryote. Its description in RNAcentral is "partial 16S ribosomal RNA". It matches the Rfam family "Bacterial small subunit ribosomal RNA", at positions 525 to 777 of the family's 1533-position model. The record is from RNAcentral.
ACGGAGGAUCCAAGCGUUAUCCGGAUUUAUUGGGUUUAAAGGGUGCGUAGGCGGCGCGGAAAGUUGGGUGUGAAAUCCCUCGGCUCAACCGAGGAACUGCGCCCAAAACUACCGUGCUCGAGGGAGAUAGAGGUGAGCGGAACUUAGGGUGGAGCGGUGAAAUGCGUUGAUAUCCUAAGGAACACCCGUGGCGAAAGCGGCUCACUGGGUCUCUUCUGACGCUGAGGCACGAAAGCUAGGGUAGCGAACGGGA